CAGGACGAACGCUGGCGGCACGCUUAACACAUGCAAGUCGAACGGAGUUAUUUGAGUUACUUAGAAUAACUAGUGGCGGACGGGUGAGUAACACGUGAGCAACCUACCUUAGAGAGAGGGAUAGCUUCUGGAAACGGAUGGUAAUACCUCAUAAUGUAACUGUACCGCAUGAUACAGUUACCAAAGAUUUAUCACUCUGAGAUGGGCUCGCGUCUGAUUAGAUAGUUGGUGAGGUAACGGCUCACCAAGUCGACGAUCAGUAGCCGGACUGAGAGGUUGAACGGCCACAUUGGGACUGAGACACGGCCCAGACUCCUACGGGAGGCAGCAGUGGGGAAUAUUGCACAAUGGGGGAAAAACCCCUGAUGCAGCGAUGCCGCGUGGAGGAAGAAGGUUUUCGGAUUGUAAACUCCUGUCUUAAAGGACGAUAAUGACGGUACUUUAGGAGGAAGCUCCGGCUAACUACGUGCCAGCCGCCGC
This 480-nucleotide ribosomal RNA is filed under the name uncultured bacterium. Its description in RNAcentral is "bacterial SSU rRNA". It matches the Rfam family "Bacterial small subunit ribosomal RNA", at positions 25 to 518 of the family's 1533-position model. The record is from RNAcentral.